Non-coding RNA from Oryza nivara, 204 nucleotides. The record is from Rfam. Lineage: Eukaryota; Viridiplantae; Streptophyta; Magnoliopsida; Poales; Poaceae.
AAAAAGGCAAACCCUAGGUUUUUAUACCAAUGUUUAACUGUUCGUCUUAUAUGAAUUUUUUUUAUAAUUAGUAUUUCAUUGUUGUUAGAUGAUAAAACAUGAUUAAUACUUUACGCGUGACUUAUCUUUUUAAUUUUUUUCAUAUUUUUUUAAAUAAGAUGGAUGGUCAAAUGUUGGACACGGAAAUCAAUGUUUGUCUUUUUU